RNAcentral lists this transfer RNA (67 nucleotides) under Pseudorhynchus acuminatus. RNAcentral's name for it is "tRNA-Trp". The record is from RNAcentral. Lineage: Eukaryota; Metazoa; Arthropoda; Insecta; Orthoptera; Tettigoniidae.
AAGGUUUUAAGUUAAAAUAAACUAAUAGCCUUCAAAGCUAUAAAUAAACGAGUCCUUUUAAACCUUA